GGCAGGCCGACUGCUAUUGGCACAGGCUAUAUAUAGUCCUUCUCCAGCCACGCUUUUACACCGCUGCAAUGAUCUUGUUGAGUUAGAAAUGGUGUUUCACUGUGGUUCUUCAAGACAGUCCGUGUCUUGGUGUGCUGAUGACGUGUGGCAAUGUAAGACGAGUCGUGUAGUCACGAACAAACUCUUUGCGUGCAAUUAUAAUGAGAAUAUCUGUUCUAAUCUUCCUUUCUUUCGCUGGGAACAGCUUCCCGUACAUGGCCGAAGGAGCAUAGCUAAGCGGCGUGAAUUAGCUGUUAAUGAUAGGAGAUAGGAACAUCCGGCUUUUCGGCGAUCCGAUGGAAGGCGUCGAUGAUUAAGGAGCGCAAAAAAUCAUUGUCUACAUCGUCAUCGUAUAAUCCGUAUUCCCACGUCCCACGUUUGCUUUUAUCGUUACAACUAUUAUUCCUCUUCGUUGUCUAAUCACAAUAGGCUGUAAUAAUAAUAGACCGUGGCCGUAGCCUUACGCGCGCGCCCGAUCAGCAUAGCAGGAACGACGUAGAACAUAAGGAGUAUCGAUCACUCUCCUUUCACUUGGUUAGCAUAAGGCUGGCAUCUCACCUCCCAUUAUGCCAAGCUGUUAUCAAUAAUCUUCAGUGGCUCUCGAGGAAAGGAAGAGGCAGGGAACGAAAAAGAGAACAAAAAGACACCCACAAAAUAAAAAUGCGGGGUCAGGGUGUCGGAGAAACCCAAUACUCUUCAACCAUAACGAAGCCCUUUUUAUCUUCUUCCACAUUCCACAUAUCCCAUUAUUCCAUCACUCCUCUUUUGGAAUUCUUCCCUCAUCCUCCCUAGUCUUUUUUCUCCUGCUGUCCACCUUUACCCUGAGAUUUAUGAUUGCUGGGAGAAGAA
Molecule: small RNA, 888 nt
Filed under: Cryptococcus neoformans H99
Lineage: Eukaryota; Fungi; Basidiomycota; Tremellomycetes; Tremellales; Cryptococcaceae
Description: Cryptococcus neoformans var. grubii H99 hypothetical RNA
Source: RNAcentral